RNAcentral lists this transfer RNA (74 nucleotides) under Rhizobium sp. BK491. RNAcentral's name for it is "tRNA-Gly". It matches the Rfam family "tRNA". Rfam says of the family: Transfer RNA (tRNA) molecules are approximately 80 nucleotides in length. Their secondary structure includes four short double-helical elements and three loops (D, anti-codon, and T loops). Further hydrogen bonds mediate the characteristic L-shaped molecular structure. tRNAs have two regions of fundamental functional importance: the anti-codon, which is responsible for specific mRNA codon recognition, and the 3' end, to which the tRNAs corresponding amino acid is attached (by aminoacyl-tRNA synthetases). tRNAs cope with the degeneracy of the genetic code in two manners: having more than one tRNA (with a specific anti-codon) for a particular amino acid; and 'wobble' base-pairing, i.e. permitting non-standard base-pairing at the 3rd anti-codon position. Lineage: Bacteria; Pseudomonadati; Pseudomonadota; Alphaproteobacteria; Hyphomicrobiales; Rhizobiaceae. The record is from RNAcentral.
ACAUUCGUAGCUCAACUGGACAGAGCGCCGGCAUACCAAGCUGGAGGUUGUGGGUUCGAGUCCCACCGGGUGAC